Molecule: ribosomal RNA, 1439 nt
Filed under: uncultured bacterium
Lineage: Bacteria
Description: bacterial SSU rRNA
Rfam family: Bacterial small subunit ribosomal RNA
Source: RNAcentral
AGGGUUUGAUCAUGGCUCAGAACGUACGCUGGCGGCACGCCUAACACAUGCAAGUCGAACGAAGUAGCAAUACUUAGUGGCAGACGGGUGAGUAACAUGUAGGUAUCUGCCCUUUGGCCUGGAAUAACACGAGGAAACUUGUGCUAAUACUGGAUAAGUCUUUACGGAGAAAGCUUUAUGCACCAUUGGAUGAGCCUGCACUUGAUUAGUUUGUUGGUGGGGUAAUGGCCUACCAAGACUGUGAUCAAUAGCUGAUUUGAGAGGAUGAUCAGCCACAUUGGGACUGAGACACGGCCCAAACUCCUACGGGAGGCAGCAGUGGGGAAUCUUGCACAAUGGAGGAAACUCUGAUGCAGCGAUGCCGCGUGAGUGAAGAAGGCCUUUGGGUUGUAAAGCUCUUUCGUCGGGGAAGAAAAUGACUGUACCCGAAUAAGAAGGUCCGGCUAACUUCGUGCCAGCAGCCGCGGUAAUACGAAGGGACCUAGCGUAGUUCGGAAUUACUGGGCUUAAAGAGUUCGUAGGUGGUUGAAAAAGUUGGUGGUGAAAUCCCAGAGCUUAACUCUGGAACUGCCAUCAAAACUUUUCAGCUAGAGUAUGAUAGAGGAAAGCAGAAUUUCUAGUGUAGAGGUGAAAUUCGUAGAUAUUAGAAAGAAUACCAAUUGCGAAGGCAGCUUUCUGGAUCAUUACUGACACUGAGGAACGAAAGCAUGGGUAGCGAAGAGGAUUAGAUACCCUCGUAGUCCAUGCCGUAAACGAUGUGUGUUAGACGUUGGAAAUUUAUUUUCAGUGUCGCAGCGAAAGCGAUAAACACACCGCCUGGGGAGUACGACCGCAAGGUUAAAACUCAAAUGAAUUGACGGGGACCCGCACAAGUAGUGGAGCAUGUGGUUUAAUUCGAAGAUACGCGCAGAACCUUACCAACACUUGACAUGUUCGUCGCGACUUUAAGAGAUUAAAGUUUUCGGUUCGGCCGGACGAAACACAGGUGCUGCAUGGCUGUCGUCAGCUCGUGUCGUGAGAUGUUGGGUUAAGUCCCGCAACGAGCGCAACCCUCACUUUUAGUUGCCAUCAUUUAGUUGGGCACUCUGAAAGAACUGCCAGUGAUAAGCUGGAGGAAGGUGGGGAUGACGUCAAGUCCUCAUGGCCCUUACGUGUUGGGCUACACACGUGCUACAAUGGUAUCUACAACAGGAAGCAAAACUGCGAAGUUAAGCAAAUCCUUAAAAGAUACCUCAGUUCGGAUUGCACUCUGCAACUCGAGUGCAUGAAGCUGGAAUUACUAGUAAUCGUGGAUCAGCGUGCCACGGUGAAUGCGUUCCCGGGUCUUGUACACACCGCCCGUCACACCAUGGGAGUUGGUUCUACCUUAAGGCAAGGUUUCAAACCCUUGACCACGGUAUAGUCAGCGACUGGGGUGAAGUCAUAACAAGGUAACCGUA